CAUAUAUAUUGCGAAGAGCAACUAUUUACAUUUAUAGGGCAUACAAAUGCAACCUUUGUUCUCAAAAACUAAAAAAAAAAAUGGUAGAAAACUGCAGUUAUUUUCAUUUGUGAGACAACACCCAAACCAUAAAUUGGAGAAGCUCCGUCAAACACCCAGCAAAGGGUAACUAAAAUCCUACUUUAACUGGUUUUGUAAAUCCUAAAUGACUUAUUACCUGAAGAUCAUUACUUUUUUAGAAACUGUCAAACAGAAUUCUUAGCUUUAGUGAAACCAAAACUUUUUUGUUCAGACAAAAAUUACUUUUUUGCAAUACAUCCUAGCGCAAUGUAAAAUUCUAAAGGAGCAGAGAAAUGUUUUAUGCCGAAACUAAUAGGACUAUGAAUAAGUUCGUGCGGAAUAAUAAUCAAGUUACGCC
Long non-coding RNA from Anastrepha ludens (Mexican fruit fly), 418 nucleotides. RefSeq lists it as uncharacterized. The transcript has 3 exons. Lineage: Eukaryota; Metazoa; Arthropoda; Insecta; Diptera; Tephritidae. The record is from RefSeq and is a predicted model, not a curated record.